UACGGAGGGUGCAAACGUUGCUCGGAAUCAUUGGGCGUAAAGCGCACGUAGGUGGCCUGUUAAGUCGGGUGUGAAAUCCCUGGGGCUCAACCCAGGAAGUGCACUCGAAACUGGCAGGCUUGAGUACUGAAGAGGGUCGCGGAAUUCCCGGUGUAGAGGUGAAAUUCGUAGAUAUCGGGAGGAACACCAGUGGCGAAGGCGGCGACCUGGGCAGAUACUGACACUGAGGUGCGAAAGCGUGGGGAGCAAACAGG
RNAcentral lists this ribosomal RNA (254 nucleotides) under uncultured bacterium. RNAcentral's name for it is "partial 16S ribosomal RNA". It matches the Rfam family "Bacterial small subunit ribosomal RNA", at positions 524 to 776 of the family's 1533-position model. The record is from RNAcentral.